Molecule: ribosomal RNA, 506 nt
Filed under: uncultured bacterium
Lineage: Bacteria
Description: partial 16S ribosomal RNA
Rfam family: Bacterial small subunit ribosomal RNA
Source: RNAcentral
AGUGAACGCUGGCGGUAGGCCUAACACAUGCAAGUCGAACGGCAGCACAGGAGAGCUUGCUCUCUGGGUGGCGAGUGGCGGACGGGUGAGGAAUACAUCGGAAUCUACUUUUUCGUGGGGGAUAACGUAGGGAAACUUACGCUAAUACCGCAUACGACCUACGGGUGAAAGCAGGGGAUCUUCGGACCUUGCGCGAUUGAAUGAGCCGAUGUCGGAUUAGCUAGUUGGCGGGGGAAAGGCCGACCAAGGCGACGAUCCGUAGCUGGUCUGAGAGGAUGAUCAGCCAAACUGGGACUGAGACACGGUCCAGACUCCUACGGGAGGAAGCAGUGGGGAAUAUUGGACAAUGGGCGCAAGCCUGAUCCAGCCAUACCGCGUGGGUGAAGAAGGCCUUCGGGUUGUAAAGCCCUUUUGUUGGGAAAGAAAUCCAGCUGGUUAAUACCCGGUUGGGAUGACGGUACCCAAAGAAUAAGCACCGGCUAACUUCGUGCCAGCCGCCGCAGUAA